GAAAUGCGAUAAGUAGUGUGAAUUGCAGAAUUCAGUGAAUCAUCGAAUCUUUGAACGCACAUUGCGCCCUCUGGCAUUCCGGGGGGCAUGCCUGUCCGAGCGUCAUUACGCACCCUCAAGCCCGGCUUGUGUGAUGGGCCCCGGCGUCUCGUUCGCGAGACGGGCCCGAAAGGCAGCGGCGGCGUCGACCCGAUGAGCCCGAGCGUAUGGGGACUUCUGUCACACGUUCGCGGUGCGGACCGGCGCCUGCUUGACUUUUCUGAUUAUCCAGGUUGACCUCGGAUCAGGUAGGGAUACCCGCUGAACUUAAGC
This 312-nucleotide unclassified non-coding RNA is filed under the name plant metagenome. Its description in RNAcentral is "partial contains 5.8S ribosomal RNA, internal transcribed spacer 2, and large subunit ribosomal RNA". The stretch from base 1 to 105 matches the Rfam family "5.8S ribosomal RNA", at positions 50 to 154 of the family's 154-position model. The record is from RNAcentral.